AAACUUUACUUUUAGUGCAUUGACAAAAAAAAGGCAAUGGUUUUUUUGCCAGUAAUAUAAAUAAAUCAGAAAAAUGUCAUGGACAUUGGUUGAUCUAGGUCUUUUUGUGUGAUUUGUGGACAAUAAGAAACCUCCCAAAUGGAAGUCUGAAACAAUACUCAACAUUACAAUGGCAGUUUGUAAUUGUAUUUCUACCGCUGACAUUUACGUGGUUUGUUUUAGUCAUCACAUGCUGGUACAUUCUUAGAAAUUAGUCUGUUGAUUUAAUAACCCUUUAAAAUCAGUUUGGAAUAAAUAUUGACCCGUUAUUUGUAAACAAAGAGAUAGCUAUGUUAUGUAUUGAUUUGAUGAUUGUUCUCUCAAUCCUUACUGUCGCUUACUUGACAACUUUAGCGGUUUUAUUCAGCGCAUGUCAGAAGUCUUCUCAAUACAUGACACACUUUAAGGCCUAAACCUUCUUGGGUUAAUUCUGAGGUACAUAUUUUUUAAUGCAUUGGUGGGGUGAUAACCGCAGGGCUGAUGGUUGGAACCUCGGCUGCUCCGUGUCAAAGUGUCCCUGAUUAAAAGACCGCUAACUGCUCCCCGGGCGCCUUCAUGGCAGCACACUGCUCCCACUGUGGGUGGGUUAAAUGCAGAGAAUAAUUUCCCCACGGGAUUUCUUCUUCAAUAGUUCUGUAUUCGUUUUUUUUGGAGAAUCAAUCUUUAUGAACUUUUUGCAACUCAAAUUAAGGCAACAACCAAAUAAGUUAAGCACAUAUCUACUGGAAUUAUACAAUAAAACCGGAGGCUCUGUUUUGUGAACCAGGAUGGCAAGUUUCACUCCUAACUGAGGACAAGGGCACAGCACACUACAAAAUAGCCCCUAACCAAUAAUAUUUCUAGACGAUAUUUCACAUUUCAUUGUGGUUUAAUUUGCUGUGCCCCCCCAAAUAUAAAAACCCUUCAGGCUAUCCUGACUCUCCAACCUUGCAUGGUGUCGAAGCACAGGCUACAACUUGGAUCACAACUGUUAUUUCUAAGCUGUACUGUAUCCAACAAAUCAUUAAUAAACUCGUUGGCCGAUACACACACACACACACACAAACAAGAUAAGUUGCUCCUGAUGUGGCGGUGGCCUCCUGCUCGCUCGGUCGAAGCAAUGUCAGAGUGGAAACCUCUCACCGUCCACUGCCUUAAUUGAAGGAAACCGCUCAACGAGUGGACCGGAAAAUUAGUAGUUCUUACCAGCCAGACUCACAGAAUCCCCGGAAACACCAUUAAACACAAAUGCACAAAGAGCUUAGGAUUUCCCCACCCCCAAUGCCAUGACCGCUUCCUGAACUUUGCGUCAGUGGAACAUGCCGAUUGACGUUGUUGUCCAACAUUGACUAAGUCACAUUUAAAGCACCAGUUCAUUGCUUCAAAGGUUUUAUUCGACAUGUUAAUAGAAAAAUGAUCAAAUUUUUCCUCUUUUUCAGAUGAGUGUACCAGAAUAAUUAAUAAUUUUUAUCUUAUGUUUUAUGUUAUCAGGGUGUGGUUUUAUUUCCUUUUUUAUUUUGUAGUUUUCUGCUUCUUGUCUCCCGAGUAAUGGAGCUCGCGGCCAAGCUCCAGGCCACCUACUCCCUCCACGCUGGGGCGCACCGCUUUCCACGCUGGGCCGCCGCAGCGCUCUCCCGUUCCCGUUCUCCGUAGUACCGACUGCGGAGAUGUUCCGUGUCCCCGAGCCGCCGCCGCUGACUGCGGAGGUGUUCCGUGUCCCCGAGCCGCCGCCGACUACUGCGGAGGUGUUCCGUGUCCCCGAGCCGCCGCCGCCGACUGCGGAGGUGUUCCGUGUCCCCGAGCCGCCGCCGCCGACUGCGGAGGUGUUCCGUGUCCCCGAGCCGCCGCCGAUUACUGCGGCGGUGUUCCGUGUCCCUGAGCCGCCGCCGACUGCGGAGGUGUUCCGUGUCCCCGAGCCGCCGACUGCGGCAGUGUUCCGAGCCGCCGCCGACCCCGGAGGUUUCCUGUGUCCCCGAGCCAGCCAUUCCAGAGGUUUUGUGGUUUUAUUUCCUGUCUUAUUUUGUAGUUUUCUGCUUGUCUCCCUGGGUAACUUCACUUCCUGCCUUGUCCUGUCAUCGUCUGUGAUUGUCUGAUUGUUUCCACCUGUGUCCAAUCACCUGCACCUUCCUAGUGUAUUUAAGCUGUGUGUGUCUCCUGUCACUUGUCGCGUCAUUGUUUGUCGUCCUGGAUGUUCCUCGUUCCUGCCUGCCUUUUUUUCCCUCUGUACUUGUGUGUGUUUUUGCCCGUUGGCCUGUGGAGUUUUUGACUAUUAAUGUCCGUUUUGUUUCCUGCAAACUCUGCAUUUGAGUCCUCCAUCCCUGACAUAUGUCACCACAGUUGAUUGUUGGGCAUUUGCUAAGUAGCCCUGUUAGUACCCUUUGAGUUGAGACUGCACACAUGGCUCAUAACCUUUGCCCAACAAUCUCUUUACAGGCAAGUUGUACUGAAAUUUUCAACUUCCCACUAAUUAGUCGCCUUUUCCUCUGGGCAUCAGCUGUUAGCCAUCAUUUGCAGCCAACUUUCUGCCUUGAUUCAGAAGUGCUUCUUUGACUAUGAUGAAAGACGUGUGGGAAAACUCUGUAGAUCUAAAAAAAAAAGAAAAAAAAGUCGACAAGCCAUUUCAAUGUUUUCUUGUUAUAAAUAGACAGUGCUAUUUCAUUUUCAAGCAAUUGUUUUCCCAUAUUAGUGAUUUAUCUUUUAGAAUGCUUAUUUUGAUCCCUGCACUUCAUUUAAAAAGGGGAAAGGUAUCAAAUUACUGUGCUUAGUAUUUCUGAGUCAUAGUUUGCAAAUAUUUGUUUUUAAGUAAACCAGUACUACCUUCAUAUAGACAGCAUAUAUUUACUACAUUAGUGCCCAGAAUAGUAAACAAAAGCUAUUUUGUCUCAUGUAAAGUAAAUGAUAUUGACAAACUCCACAAUCCCAAAAGAAAUGACAAGACAAAUAAUAAAAUGUACAUCGAAGACAAAUUACUAUGUGGUGAAGAGAAUAUCUAAGUAAUUCAAAUAAUAGACUAAAAUCCAACUCCCGAAAACUAUACAGUUCACUGUCAUUUCUUCCAUUUUGAUUUGUUGAAUGGUAAGAUAUGAAUUAGUGCUUAAAACGGAAGGUUUGUCUCCUGCAACUACAGCCUGCCGUCCUCCCUGUGAGGUAGUUUUCUUGCAACCGAGAUGAGAAAAACAAACAUGGAAGUCGUUUUCUCAGUUCUGCCACUUUGAUUCUAAUCCAAUGAACAUUCAUUUCAUUUUGUAUAGCCCAAAAUCGCAAAUUACAAAUUUGCCUCAGAGGCGUUUACAGUCUGAACACAUGCAACAUCCUCUGUCCCGAAACCCACACAUCAGCAGAGGAAAAACUCCACAAAAAAUGAAAACCCCUUCCAUGGGGAAAAAAGGGAAGAAACCUCAGGGAGAAUGUCAGAGAAGGAUCCCUCUCCCGGGAUGGACGGACUACAAUGGAUGUCCUGUGUACAGAAUGAACAAUGUAAGAGAUGUACAUGUGUGGAGAAAGCACAAAAACUCCUGGAAAGAAGCUGAAUUAGUCAUGUGCAUUAAUAAAAUGUGGAUUAUUGUAGAAAGAGAGAGAGAGAGAGGAGCUUGGUGUGUCCAAAGAAGUCCCCCGGCAGUCUAAGCCUAUAGCAGCAUAACUAAGGUCUGGUUUGGGCUAACCUGAGCCAGCCCUAACCAUAAGCGAUAUCAAAGGGGAAAGUUUUAAGCUUUAUCUUAAAAGAGCUGACCGAAUCUGCCCCCCGGACUGAAAGUGGAAGUGGAUUGACCCUUUUUUUCCUCUCAAUAUGGACAGAGGGAAGACUAAAGGCUAUAGACCUUCCUUCCUCUCAAGGAAUUAAUGGUAUCAUUGUAAAAGAAAGGACUAUUCAGCUCGAGUAGAAAUCCAGAAGCAUUACAGUAAAUGUGUGCAACAAAAAGCGUGCAAGAAUUCUUUGAUUGACAGCCUCACAAAAUAGGUUUUACGAAUUUGACUCGUGUCAUUUUAACAACAAAACGCACGGUUUUAAUUUAAAAACGUAUGUUUUUACUGUGUAAGAAACUUUCUGCUUUUCCAACUUUCACUAAUCAGAGCAGUUGAAGUCUGCAAAAUGUCACAGAUUUCUCAGACUAGCACCUUGCUUAUUGUGUCCUGGUCCACUGAGCAUCUGGAGGCAAAGUGAGAUCUCAUUAAAUGAAGUCGGGAUGGGAGGGGGAAGCUGAGUGAGCUGAAUGGGGUAAAAUUAGGUUUUAUCGUGAUGAUGAUUCUACAUUGAGCUUCCUCCGUCAUUGUAUAUUAAACAUGUGGUUUCAGGUGCACAAAUUUAAAUAGAAUAAUGACAUUAUUUAUAAUGAGAAGCUUAAUUUGUAACCCAAACAAUAUAUAGUUAUUAUGCAAAGAUAAUACAUCCCUUAUCUCUCUUCCUCUCCCACGCACACAUGCACAAGAGGAGGGGACAUAAUCUCAGCUAAAUUGACACUAAAUGGCUCAUUUUUUUAAUCAACCCAAAUUAUUAGCUGGCUAAUUUGCCUGAAACAACUCACUUACCUCUUCCUCUCACACGCAACACAUGCACAAACAUGAAUGCACUUCAACAGUCUUUUUUGCACAUUCACAAGGACCAGACCCUUGAAAAGAGGCAUUUAAAACACUUUUGGAGUAAGGUGAACGUGAUUGAGAUGCAAGGCGUGAACCACGUGUAGCUCAUUGGGUUAGACAAAUUAGUUGCAGGGUGCCUUGAUAGGAUCCUGAGAGGGCUUGCCAUGCCGGUGUGCUACAGCAGAUUCCCUAAAGAAGACGAUAGGAGAAAAAAAGGGAGGCAGGGAGAGGCACCAAAUAAGAGAGAGGAACAGGAGGAGCCGGUUAGGAAGGUUUUUAUAGAUUAGCAGGACGUGGUAGGGUUGAGGAGUGAUCCCGCUCCAAAUAUUCCGAUAAGUAUCUUCAGUUCACUAGUGUGUGGUCAAAAACCAUCAGAACAAGCAGCAUAGCAAACCUUUCCCUUCGCUUCCGGCCGGUGGUGCACAAACAAAAUAUCAGAUGGCUCAAGUUUAAAAUAGAGACUGAUUUAAAAACUGCAAAGCAGGUACAAUUACAAAAUGAAUUGCACCUUUAAUGGAGUAAUAAUCCAUGGAAUUGUCAAUGUCCUUUCUUCCUCCAAAUCUAGUCCAAGUUUUCUGAAGACUCUCCCACACAAUCUCGCAUGUCCGUAGAGUUCCUUCUUUUUUUGUGAUGGAAGAAGUGAGCAUGGGAGAGAUGUUGGAUGUUUGUUUACUUGUUACAGUUUGCCCAAAUAGACUGUUGCUCGGCGGAGAUACAGAUACAGCAGUAGUUUGCUUUGUGAGGUAGGUUCUGGAACUGAAUACGGGUGAAUCAAAUAGAAAAGCGGAACAGGAGGAACGAUAUAAGUCGGUAUUCAUAAAUAUGUAGGAAGUUGUAGGGUUGAGGAGUAGUCCUUCUCCCAAAAAAGGAUCAGUAAUCAAACAUGUACGUGCAUAUGUUGCUGGCGUUGUCAAUUAAUUCAUGUUCUAUAUUGUAACAAAAAAAAUUAUGCCAUUAUCAAGCAGACUGUAUUGUGUGCUGCAGUGUUUACAGCGUGUGUUUACACUCUCCUAAAAUGUGAUAAAGGUUGGAGUUAUCGUAGCCGCAGGUGCUGCCGAGAUGUGCAUUGAAAUAUGCUUGUGGUCUGACGCGGCCUGCUGACUCGUGUGUAACUCCCGUCCUUUCAAGUGUGCAGCCUGUGGUUCUCACAGCGGCGAGGCAAGAAAGGUUUCUGAAUGGACUCCAGGCUGGAGGAGGGUUUUAAAAGAAUUGAAAGAAUGUGUUUCCCCAGCUCUACAUCUAACCCCUAUGACUGUAUACUGAUGGGGAGGAAGCAAUACAACUUUGAAAGGUUAGUCACAUUUUGUGACCUGGCUUUAGUCAAAGUCACGAAACUAUUGUUCACUUACAGAUGUUGUGACGGCCCUGCCUAUUGGUUCAUGUCGGAUACCAUCACCUGAUUGAGAGCAGCUGGGGGGUUCCAGCGGUAUAAAAGCGCUUGGUCGCUGCCUGCCGGGGUUGCUGGUUUCCCGGGCAUCUUUUGUUUGGGUCUCUUUGCGUUCCAUUUAUGUUCACAACACGCUACCCUACAUGAUCAAGCACCCACACUGACAUGACUGAAACUACGGACGUACACACCUCAUAUUUGCUUUACUUUUGGUUCUGCUACUUUACUUAAAUAAAUAAACUUUUACGGCAGCUUUGCACUGUGUCUCUCCCGUUUUUGUCAUCUCCGUUGAGCCGGGUCAUGACAAUGUCCAUAGACUAUUCCACAUUCAGAGUGAUGAACAGUGACAACUGAAAUCACCUAUUAUUACAACACAGUGCACAAAAUGAUCAAAGAAACAGCUCCUUAAAAUAUGCACAAUCAGACCCACAAUAGCUUCCCAUGCCACAUGUUUAAAAUAAGCAUAACAGCGUAUAUGUAUGUGCACUUUUGUGGGUUAGUUUAAAUAAGAAAGAAGGAGGUAGGGGUAUUAAAUACCAGAUAGAUUUUCAAAGUUUGGAAGGAAAGUAUCCAUUACUUUACCACACAGAAGGCAAACUGGUCUGUUAGUUGUUAAGGGUUCGGAAAGCCCUCGAGGGAGUUCUCACUCCUUUGUUCUCGUCCCGGCCGGAAACGAAAAAUCAAAAGAGUCAGCUCGCUUAAAUUCAAAAAUAAAAAAGUAUUUAAUAACUAAACAACGUUAUAAGGAAUACAAUUACAAAGUCAAAUAAAAAACGAACAGGAAAAUAUUUCGCGUCUAAAGUGACUUUUCAAAGCGGCUGCAGGAACAUUCUAACAGUCCUUUCCCUUCUUUGGUCAUUUGAAAACUCUUAAGGUGUGUCUUCUUGGGUGCAUUUGAAUGUCAUUGGCUUCUCCUUCAAAGUGUCUCCUCCUGGAUUGUCCCCUUCACAUCGAGGUCUGAAGCUGCAGCUGUAACCUGAAACCUCUCUGUCCUAUCUGUCCCUCACAUUCCAACAAAUUCAAUGUAGAUACAUUUGGCUUUAUGCCUCAAUGAGUGAAUAUAACAAAGCAUGCAUAGUUUAAGUCUUCAUCUUCUAACUAGUACACCUCAAUUACAACACAUCAUUAAUGAUCACCGUUCAUCACACUACAUCAUAAGAUCUAAAACAGUUCAUGUGGUCCAAUUCUCAAGACAUUUGCCUCAAUCGGCUGUCUUGUAUUCAGUUGUUCAUUUACUACCUGAAAGGAGAAAAAAACUCCCAAAAAACCCUCUUUGGGGAUAAAAUUGGGAGAAAUCCAUAAAGGACGGCAAUCAGCAUCCGUCCCUAGGUUUUAACAUCACAUUGUGACAGAAUGUGAAUCUGUACAGUGUUUAUAUGAUUAACAUGACUAACUUGUGUUUGAUUCAUAAUGCAUUCACUUCAUCUAACAUGUUAAUAUAAUAACCAAUAUCUAAUAACACACAAACUACCAUUCUAACACUAAACAUUACACGUAUUAUAAUUUCCACCACUAGGGGUGCACUUCUUGCUUAAAUCCCUAACAUAGUUACACUUGACCUUUAAAUAAUAAAAGUUUACAAUUAUUCCUUGAUAUGGCGGAUUUAAACGUCUGCAAACCAACGUCUGGAACCGCACUGGUAAAGCGACAACAACCGUUGUUACACAACAAUAAUGGGACUCAGCAGUCCAUAAAAUCCCCACUUACACUGUAAAUAGUACAGUUGACUUAAACAAAAAGCACAACUAGGUUACAAACACACUACAACGUAUUGUGUAUCUGCCCAGGCAAAAGCCUCUUACUUGAGACUGCUUCGUCACGGUUAGUGCGCUUCUUUGUACCAUAGGAGGGUUUUCAUUAAAUCUAGAACCGGCGACCUCUUGACUGGGCUUCUCUCAGUGGGUCGAGCAGCAAACAAAUCCUCAGUAGGACAGCUCAGAUUUGGGUUGAAUUUCUCCAAUUCUAUAAACUCUGGACUUUAACCGCUCUGUAUGAGCAGGUUAAACUGCAUGCUGAUUCUCGUUCGGCAGCGGAGAAAACAUUGAAAAUCUUCCUUCUGCAGGUUGAAGUUCUGAAUUGUGCCGCAAGUUAUCAAUUUAUUUUUUGGUGAAUCCGCAAAAAAAUGUUUGUCCAGCAGUCGACAUGAUCAUCUAUAGGAAUACUAAGCUUGUUAUUCACCUCGUUUCAAUAACUUUUGUUGAAUAGAUGGCGCUUAGAAAAUGUAUAUGCGGAUUGUCUCAUCAUAGGGUAUAAGGGCCACGUCACAGGGACUAACUGGGAUUCCCAAGGCACUGGCCUGCACUGGCCUGGGAACGCCUCGGGAGCCCCCCAGUAGGAUCUGGUAGACGUGUCCGGGGAAAGGGAAGUUUGGGGUCCCAUGAUGGAGCUGUUGCCCCCGCAAUCAGACCCCGGAUAAGCAGUGAAUGAAUGUCUUUGUUCUAACAGCAUAGGGAAAUCACAAAUUUAAUUAAGGUCAUAAAAAAAUCAGCUUUUACUGACAAUUUGCCCAACAUUUUAACGUUGUCCAACACAGAUUGGUUUUGAAGAAGUUUUAUUUAGACUUUUGCUUCUCCCUGGUCAAAAUGACCUGACAACCUCUUUUGAAGUUUUUUACAACUAGUUUCACCUUUGUUUGCCUUGUGGAGAGCGAAAGAGUUAGAAUAUAAUUGUUAUUUUUUUCUCCAGAAGCUUCCUUUGUUUGUUUUUGUACAAAAGGUCACAGAUUUUUGGAUGCCUGCUGUGGUGCCCGGCACACGUAAUAGGACCUUUACAGUUUUCACCCCAACAGAGAAAGUGCUUCUUCUUUAGUCCAUAACAAGCCCGGCCAGAUUGUAAAACUGACAGAUGGGAGGAUGUUCAGACACAUGGAUGUGUUGGACUUCACGCACACACAGACAGUAAUGCAUGGAUGCAUCUGCGCAAAUAUUCUUCAUCAAACUGUUUCAACUCCUCUGGCUUCCCACUGAGACGCCUUCUGUUCAGCAGAAACACAAUACAUGUUUACAGCUAAUGAAUCUCAACUGCCUUAUAUUCCCAUCUUUUGGAAGUAAUAAACUCGGUUUGUCGGUGUGUGGGUUAUGUGUUCUUUUCUAACUAUUCAUUUAGAGAUUAAGAGAGAUCUAAGAGAUUAGAUACAUUGAGCUGUUGUGCCAGUUGCAGCACAGCCAUUAGGUGAGCAGAUGACACAGAGCCCUGAUGGCCUCCCGUGGAGGGGAGCUAUUAGCUGCAUGCUAAAUGGUCCCAGUGAUGAUGCUAACAUUAGCUUGAUUUCUCACUGCAGUCUCACACUUACUUAAUGAACGGCACCAUUAUUUACCAUUAUUUACAUGCAAAAUGAUGCACUGAGGUAUUGUGAGACCAAAUCAUUGUUCAUGAUCAUCUUAGGUAAAAUACUGGUGCUCAGUACACGCUGACUGCUGCUGGGGCUCACAUCCUAUUACAAACAACACUUGCAAGUGCUUCUAAACAUCUGUGUUUACUUGCACAUUAAAAAAACAGGCUAAAAUGUUCUCUAUGCCUUGUCUACCUCAGGUUCUUCCUCCCUCUCUGUGCUCUAUAUACUUUAUCUGUGCAGGUCAGCCAUUGUUCAUCUCAUCUGUUAAGUUCCCACAGGACUAUAUAUACGACUCUGCACACUCAGCAAUCACUGUGUCUGAGUGGGAGUCUGUCUGAGUAGUUGUGGGAAAGGAAGAGAGAACAAGUAAUAUAUCUUGAGACUAAAGUGUUAUCAGACUUAAAGAAGGAAUUUUUACAAUGAUGCUAAUAUCUUGAGCCAUUCUUUAUUAUUAUACAGUGGCAAUGUUUGUUUACCUCUGUCCUGAAAUGUCACAUACACAUUUCUUUUAAUGAUUGAAAACAGGAUCUAUCCGACAUAAAACAAUGUUUUUUUCUGUCAACCGUUGACAGAUCCGACAGCAAAAGCCACUAGUCCACUAGCUAAUUGAUCGCAGAUGGUGUCUUUUAUUAUAGAUAAAAAAUGUAAAUGCAAAACAUUGUUCGCCAUAGAUAUUGUGGUAGCCUUCAAUACAUCUGUCCUAUUAAAAUCAGCAAUAUGAUUGUGUAGAAUUUCAUCAUAUUUACAAAGCAAGUACAUCAACCAAAUCUUGCCAUGUUGCUUUAAGUAAAAAAUAUAGUCGACCAGGCUUUAAACAGAGAUUAAAUAUGUGAGCCUACACUCCCAUGCAACGUGAAGCUCUGUGAGCCUCGUUGUAUUAAUUGAUUUGAUACACUUUUUUUAUCUGAUGACCAGAAAGGAUUCAGUAGUUUUAAUCUAAAAACUUCAAAAGCCAAUCCUGGAAAAAAAAAAAAGGUUUGAAAACUUGUGUUGCUCUGUGUGCCUUCGUUGUCUGCGGGUACUCUGGCUCCUCCCACAAUCCAAAGACAUUCUCCUUGGAGAAUUAGGUUAAAACUUGAAUGCCCGUGUAGUGGAUUUAUCAUCUUUUACUUAGGGACACCUAGGUUACUGUGGAAAAAAAACUAAUGAAAACAAAGCCUCAUUUUAAAACAAACUCAUAUUUAAAGCCUUGACUAAUUAUUUGUAUACAGUAAUGGUUCGACUAUUUGUACAUUUUAAACUGCCCAAGUAGAACAUCACUACUUGAACAUAUUGAGGCAUUUCUACAGAUAUUAACACUUACUUAAUGAUACUUUUGCAUAUUUUUGUAAAGCAUCAAUGCCAUUACGUUAAAUAUAUUUGACUUCUCUGCCAUGUUAUUUUUCACAGCAGUUUGAAUGGGAGAUUAGUCAUGAAAUGCAGCUCUUUAUAAAAAGGACUUUGAUUUCUAGGAGAGCAGGGACAAAGAAGGAUUUCAAGCCAAGAAGUAAUUUUCAAAUUUACUUUUAAGUAAUUCUCUGUCAUUCUAUCUGUAAUUCCAGCCAACAAAUACUCCUCCCCUGUUGCUCCAGUAUUCAGGGACAUGCUUUGAAAAAUGAGUAAAUGUUUAAUUAGUCACAGGAAUGAAUAGUUAACAAUUAUAAUAUGUGCCACUUCUUCUAGCCUUGUCGCAUCUGCUCCCUCACUGGAUGUUCCUAUGCACUUGUUAUCUCCUGUUUGAAUAAAUUAUGGAAAAUGCCAAAGCACAGUAAAGAGGGCAGGAGAUGGAGAGAGUAAAAGUAUAGAUUGUAGACAGACCAGAGGUUUGUUGCUGUGCUUCCUCAGAAGUUGUCAGACCGAGGAUACACUGCAUUGUAAGUACGCUAACCAAAAUCAAACCAUUUCACUCUAGAUAAAAGCAUGCUUGCACACAUGUGUGUUGAUGUUCAUGAGCUUUGUCUAUAGAACUAACCGGCCUGUUGUGAUAAGUGGAAGGACACGGUCCAACAUGCACACACACACACACACACACACACACACACACACACACCCUGCAGAGCUGCACUCUAAUUGAAUAAGCCAUCACUCAUUGCUAAUGAUCAAAGAUUAGUAUUAACUCAUCUCUAAUUCAUACCUUUUCAAUAGACACAGCUCAAUGUGAAAUGAGAAAGAACAAGGCAGGAAAAGCAGGAGGUCAAGCCUUGUUUUGCACAAACCUGGGCACCCCUCUGAGACUCGUGUGCAUGCACAUGUCAGCUGAUUUGGCUUUCGAUUGGAGGUAGGCAGACAUUUUAUUCAUCUCAUAAGAAGGCUGCAUGCUAAUAUGGACAUUAAGUAGGUAUUUCCUUAGAUGGCUUUUUUGUCACUAUGCUUGCUUUUCAUUUUCAGGCUGAAAUAAGUAAUGACUACAGCAACCUAAUUUCAUAGCUGGCUUCUAGUUUGAAGAGUCACUGAGGUCAUUACGAUAUUUCAAAUACAAUUUUUCCCUUUAUUGCAGUUUACUUAACUGUAUCCAACCCUAAUCCAUUGAUCUUUUAAAGUUUAUGUGGAUAUCACUAAUGAUCGUACAGUCUGGAGUUUUCUUGUUGGAAAUUAGAGCAGCGAUUUUCUACUAAUUGCAUAAUAAUAGUUUUUAAAAAUGUUAUAAUUGUGGUUUCAAUAGUGUCUCAGGAGGAGAAAUAAGCAGACCUAAAUAAGGAAGACAACCAACCAGUGAUAACACAUAGACAAUGUUCUCAUGUUAACCUUGCCUCAGUCUCAGCUGUCAGUCACCCACCCCUGACAAGCAUGACUCACACCUAAGCCUUCCCUCUUUUGUCAGUGACAAACCGUGACUAACCUUCCUUCCCAGGAAUUUUGACAGCAGCUAUUGAUGGGCAUGAAUAUGGGACAAUGGAUUCAUGUGUGUGUGUGUAUUAAAGAUUGAUGACUCAGGCCAAAGAGUACCUAACUCUACUCUACAUUGAAGUCAAAACACCAGGCUUGUCAUUCAAUUGGAUGAGAAAUUGUGUCCAAACGUUUGACUGAUACUGUAUAUUAUCCGAUAAAUAUUGCAAUUAACAAUAUUCUAAUUUUAUGAAGCAAGUAAACCACUAGCAAGAGAACAGAAAUUUAAGUUUUCAAAAAUAAUCCUUUAUUAAAAUGUAUUAAAAAGAAUUGCAAUCAAAUAGAUAGUACAUUUAUUGUCACAUUCUGUUGCCACUGUUUCUAAUAGUUGUUAUAGGCUCAUGGUUGUGUUAGGGUUCCCUAACAGUUGGCACUCCUUAUUGACACACGGAAGUGCAUUAUGCGGUCACCAAACCCACUCCAAGUUUAACUUUUUAAUCAGCUACAUUUUGAAAGUACUUUAGACAAGCUGUAAGCCAAAAACUAUAACAUGAUUUGCACCGAGCAGGCCCAUAUCAGUAGCACGUCACGCUUUGAUUGUUGCAUCAUAAUUAAUGUAUGACCAUGAAAAAGCCUCCUUCAUUUUGAAGCAGUAUGUGAAUUCCCUUUUCCUCCACGAUUGACUUGUAUUACUAAAUGUAAUAUUUAGUAAAUGUAAACGGCUUUAACCUCUUCUCAGAAUAAUUCAUAUUUUCACAGUGAAACGCUAGGAUGGUUUGCUUUCAGUAUUGCAGUGAGCAGGUGACUUUAUAAUUAGGGAUCCUGGGCUUUUUUUCCAAACCUUUUCUGUUUACCUGAACAAGCAACUGUAAACCAAAGAUUAUUUUUUUUGAUAUUUUACUGUUUCUCACACCUUAAUAAAGUUUGAGAAGGACAGAAGCAAUACAUUUAAAUACACACAAUGUAUACUGUUGAUCAGACCAUCUAAUUUGUUAGCUCUUCUGUCCUUUUGGACUGUUUUCCUCAAAAUGGCAUUCCCAUACAACACACUUCAUUGUCAUCUAUGUUUGAGGUAAACAUCAUUUUCUCCAGAAAGAUGUUUGUUUUUCGCUGGUUAAACAAAAAAAAUAUUUUUGUGGAAGAAAAAAAAAAGGCUAAACCUACUCAAGAAAUGCUGUUGCGCUUUUGUUUUAAUCUACAUUAUUUACCACAUUUUUGAAAAUGGGACAAUUAUGCGGGAAAAUGCUUUUCCUUUAAAACUUAAUCCCUGCAGGUUAGUUGUAUGAGAAUGUAAAAGAUUGGUUCUUCACUGAGCCAUCUAUAUAAUCCGGCUUUUGUCUGCAAACAAAGGUCUACUUUUCCAAUCAUUUGCUUCUAUAGAAAACGUCAGUCUCCUAUAUUUUCAGGUAGUCAUCUUUAUGUCACUUUUAAUAAUAGUAAACACGCUUGGAAAGACAUUUUGGGGAGAUGUGGAGUCAGCACAUUCAGUGUAAAGUGGGGAUCUGUGAGUGGUGAUGUAGGAAGUUGGUAUGUCACUCUUAAUUGUGCUGCUAACUCAGCUAGUGCUUUCUUCUACACACCACAGUGAAAGGAACACAAACAAAACCCCACAAAAACACGGUGUCCUGCACCGUCUCUCUCAAUGACACACCUCAAAAAACCUGUCUUUCUGGGCUUGAAAUAACUCCUUCGCUGGUCGGCUUCACUUUGUGUAGCAAUUGCACACCUUCAUCUGUUUUUCUUGUUAACCCCCGUUUCUCCCUGCCAUCCUCACUCAGUCUCCAAAAGUAAGUAUUUUUAAAAGCAGUCUUCAUACAUUGUUCAUUCAGCAAUAAUCUCCGCGAUCAAAUUGUUCAGUUACUUAAAUAUAUCUGAUUUCUUAUAGUAGACCAUGCAUAUGUGUUUCACAUUAAUGUAAAUAACAUUCAUUUAAACAAAAAGCUGUGAGUUGGCUUAAGCUUUUCAGAAAGGAAAAGGGACCUGGAAAUGUCUCGCAUCUCUGUCAUCCAUCCUCUGUCACAUUAAUGUACGAGACAUGUUCAAACGAGUCCUUUUAGACAUGCAUUAUUAUUAGAAAGAGAUAGAUUUCAAAUGAUGUCCGUGCUUUGAGAUAUAAUGUUUAAAAUGCAACAUUGUUUGGUCUCCGGUUUAUAUCUUGUCUAUGUAAAUCAGGAAUUCUAUUCACUACUGCUUGUCUACAUCCAUCUAGCUUCAUGAGUCAGCAGUUAAGCACAGUGGUGGUUUCAGUUAAAUGCGAACGUCAGCAUGUUGACAUGCUCAGAAUGAGAAGGCUGACAUCCGGAUGCUGAGCAGGUAUGUUGGCAAUCAUGUUCAACGUCUUAAUGCCGCUUCUUAGAAUGCAAACAUUUGCUCAGAACUAUCAUGAGACCAGAUGUGGUCAUUGUAGUUUGUCGGGAAUGUUGCCGGUUUGGCGCCCAUAACCCAUCAAUGGUAGAGUUGGUUACCAGGUAUAAAAAUGAUUUUGUUCACACACACACACACACACCGCACGUGUACAUUUUAGUUCAUACACCGGAGGAAAUGCCAAUAUAAAAAGAUAGUGCUGAAAUAAUGACUUCCCAUCCUAAACCAAACUCCCUCUAUCUGACUUCCUCUUUUCUACCACUACCUUUGCUGGGUCGCAUGUACACUUUUUGGAGGCAUGUAAUGUCUAAAAGAAGAAAAGAAAUGUGUUGAUCAGUAAUGUGAUUGAAAUCCUCAUGAAAAUGUAAAUGAUUUACCAUUGCCCCAAGGCUUUCUACUGAGUUUAAUAAAAUAGUGCGUGUAGUUUUUCUGCAGUUCGGUAGAAGAACAGACAAACUAAACUGAAAAACAAGGAUGAUAUAUUAUGAUGUUUCUUUUGAAUACUUUGUGCAUAAUAGAUCUAUGACUCAAAGAAUCAUAAAAAGGUUCAAGGUAUUUUCUGCUUCAGCCAUAAGAGGAUUAUCAAAUCCCAUGAAACACCAAAAUAUAUAAAAUUGUUAGAUAUUCUUGUUAAGGUAUUAAUUAAGUUAAGUAUUAAUUCCCUUAGUUAGUGCCUACACUCCUUUUCCCCUUCUUUAGUCAAGUUUCAAAGGGAUCAGAAAUGAUGAUAGAUAGCAGAGGCUAGAGAGCAGAAUGACUAGGAGUCUCUCAAAUGUACUGUAGCUGUGCUCUCUAUCUUCACUCAAUUAAUCCUGCCCGACUGCAUGGAGUUGAGUGUUAUUUCCCAUGACAGAAGUCGGUUUGAGAUGGAAAUCCCUUGAAAAGGAAAGAAUCUGUUGGAGGUGGGUGCCGGGCAAAAGAGAUCUAAUGUCCCCACUCCUCUUUCCCCCGUCACUCUGAAGUCAGAGCCCUUUUGUUUUUCCAUCCUCAUUCUCCUCUGCUUCUCCACUCACCUCCGCCUGACAUUUCUUCAUCAUGAGUGAAGUACAUAUCUGACAUCCUUCAUGCCAACGUCAUCAUCAUCUUCAUCAUCUCAUUAUCCUCAUUGUCAACCUCUUUUUGGUUACACUCACAGCAGUUUCAGAUUUUAAUUGGCAGCUUGAGUAGCAUCAGAAUAUAUCCGCUUCUCCCCAGUGAGGCAACUUGCGUCUCUUUCUCUCCUUGAAGUUUUUUUUGAGUCGCGCCAUUGUGGCUUAACGCAAGUAAUUUGCCAUCGAGGUUUCCUCAACAAAUGAUAUGUGCAGAACAAGUGGUUCCCCUAGAAAACCAUGUUCUUCUUCUGAUCAUCUGAGGGCAAGGCGUCACUGCGUAUGCAGUUUUGCUAUUUUUCGUAGGUCGGGAACUGUGAGGACAUGAUGAAACAUUGUAAGCUUUGUGUUCUGACUCGCUGAUGGAGCGCUGCAGAUCGCCUGGUAAAAGUGCGUCGGUGGCACUUCUUGUAUAGAUCACAAUCUUUUUGGCUGCCUUGUUAGGGAGAGCGGGGAGAGAAGCUGCUAUUAGGCUGCUGAAUACCUGUGCUUCUCUGUGCAGGCAUUUGGUUGCAGAAUCGUAUUCGCAUGUCGUCUCCUUACUUUAGCUGGUGGCAAACGGGUUCUGCUGACUUAUUUAGAAAGGUUGUCGAUGGAGGUCAGCUCACUGAACAAAAGUCCCUAAGGGGACAUUACCGAACUGAACAGUAGAGGAUGAAUAACACAAUUCAUUUCAAGCGAUUAAAAGUAAGAGAUGGGAAGAGUGGUUCAAAUGAAACAAUUCAAACUGAUGAAAAUCUUCUAAAUUUGACCCAAUCACAAUUUUCCCUCAAUUCAUCGUCUGCUGCAACUCUUUAUCCCUCUGUGUGUGUAGUAUGUGCUCUCUGAUUCUCACACAGUUCAACGUUUACAGACACAUAAUCCGGUCUGGCAAAUGGCCUGGCUUUAAGGCGGCGCAUAUGGCCGCUGGCUGAGUGGGAAUGGAGGGUAAGGGGGAAAAAGAUGGACGGAGGGGAGACAGAGAGAGAGAGAGAGAUCUUGCAGUACAAUGUACCACUGCAUUGCCACCCAGAAAUGUAUUGUGCAACACAAGAAAACUCUUUCUUCAUUAUAAGCCGUAUCUUAAGUGCCAUUAACCUUUUAACAUUGAAUGACGUUUGCUCUCCCUGUAAUGCUUUAAGAGGCGUGAGAUGACUGCGUGUGUGUGUGUAUGUGUAUAUGUCUGUGUGUUGGACAAGCGUCAGGGCUUGAUGGCUUAUUGUGGCAGGCUCGUGGGCCUUAUCAAAAUGCGUGUGAGAAAAUACAGAGUGACAGACGUAGGCUUUCUGCUCUCUCGCACUAACAUGUUUAUUCUCCCACCGCCCGCUUCACUGAUCUCAACACACACACACACACUCACUCAAGUUCAAGUCGCUGUGAGCACACACGCUCACAGCCCCGAUGAUGCAGCUUGUUCAACAGUUGCAAGUCUCGCUACUGGUACAGAUGCACAGCUUGUCUCUAGACCAGAAUGUGGGAAUUUUUGGGUGUCCGGAAUGUUGAUUUUUUUUUUUAAAGCCCAAAACAAAACAAGCACCAAAUGUGAAAAGGCGCCACUUGAGAGACUUCCUUCCCCCCCAAAAAAACCUGCUAGUUUAAAUGGUUGUAGACGGAUAUUGCUGCAGACAACACAUCUCCCAGACGCAAUCAUUUCCAAAAUAAUAUACCUUAAGUCUUUUUAACUUUAGUAAGUUAAAUCCGACCGGACCAUGUAUCGAUGUCAUUUCCCUUUCCCAUCUUCCUCCAACACAUUAUCGCCAGCACUGUCAGACACUCGUACAAAUGAGAAAACAAUGGGGAGAUGGGAGCAAGUUGUUGAAUAUUCAUGGUGAGGAUAAGGAUACAACUGGGACAUUUUGAGGCUUUAUCGGCACUAACAGGAUCUAAGCCGUGGUAAUUCAUGUUAAAUCCAAACCAAAUCGGCCCCAAUGCCGUUUCUUUGGAGGGAAGAAAAACCCCAAAGAAAAUAGACUUGCGUAAAAUCUCCCGAGUGCUUUUGAGAUUGUGUUUCCAUACCAUCUCUAUCCCAGUUUUAUUUAUCGCAGGAAGGUAGUUGAGACAUCUCUCAUUCUCUUCAUUUCCUACACUGCGUCGCAUAUUGAGCUGGAAGCAAAAAAAGA
Gasterosteus aculeatus aculeatus (three-spined stickleback) is the source of this 17673-nucleotide long non-coding RNA. The record is from Ensembl. NCBI's taxonomy places the organism in Eukaryota, Metazoa, Chordata, Actinopteri, Perciformes, Gasterosteidae.